CAUAUUUUUACACAAAGCAGGUGAUAUAGACAGAGCGCAUUAAUUUGCAAUUCUGUGAAACAGGAAUCAAGAGACAGGAAGCAGAAAAAAAACUAAAACGGAAAUCAGAGGUGCUUGAAAGGUGACAGUUCUCUCACUUGUAUUUUGACAUCCUCUAACAUAAGAGAAUGUGCAUAUACUAUAGAAAACCAGUUAGAAUGUUUCACAAAUGUUUUUUACAGCAGCCAGUUGAGUAAAG
Molecule: non-coding RNA, 238 nt
Organism: Pelobates cultripes (western spadefoot toad)
Lineage: Eukaryota; Metazoa; Chordata; Amphibia; Anura; Pelobatidae
Source: the annotation of a GenBank genome assembly